ACACUUCACACCCUACAACCCCUAAAAAUAACCCAGAUUUGACAGCAGUGCACACCCAUCUGAGGCCGACCUGUUUUACUUCAUGAUCACCCCAGAUACUUCUACAACUAACCCGCUUUGUGUCUGAUGUUGAUGCA
Long non-coding RNA from Sinocyclocheilus anshuiensis, 137 nucleotides. RefSeq lists it as uncharacterized. The record is from RefSeq and is a predicted model, not a curated record. Lineage: Eukaryota; Metazoa; Chordata; Actinopteri; Cypriniformes; Cyprinidae. The transcript has 3 exons.